This 460-nucleotide ribosomal RNA is filed under the name Peribacillus simplex. RNAcentral's name for it is "bacterial SSU rRNA". It matches the Rfam family "Bacterial small subunit ribosomal RNA", at positions 983 to 1442 of the family's 1533-position model. Lineage: Bacteria; Bacillati; Bacillota; Bacilli; Caryophanales; Bacillaceae. The record is from RNAcentral.
GACAUCCUCUGACAACCCUAGAGAUAGGGCUUUCCCCUUCGGGGGACAGAGUGACAGGUGGUGCAUGGUUGUCGUCAGCUCGUGUCGUGAGAUGUUGGGUUAAGUCCCGCAACGAGCGCAACCCUUGAUCUUAGUUGCCAGCAUUCAGUUGGGCACUCUAAGGUGACUGCCGGUGACAAACCGGAGGAAGGUGGGGAUGACGUCAAAUCAUCAUGCCCCUUAUGACCUGGGCUACACACGUGCUACAAUGGAUGGUACAAAGGGCUGCAAACCUGCGAAGGUAAGCGAAUCCCAUAAAGCCAUUCUCAGUUCGGAUUGCAGGCUGCAACUCGCCUGCAUGAAGCCGGAAUCGCUAGUAAUCGCGGAUCAGCAUGCCGCGGUGAAUACGUUCCCGGGCCUUGUACACACCGCCCGUCACACCACGAGAGUUUGUAACACCCGAAGUCGGUGAGGUAACCUU